GGCUUUCUUUCGCAAGUUUGUAGAAGUUGUUAAUAUGACCCCAUAAUGUCUUCUCAAAGGUCUCCCAAGUUUGGUCUACAUCUUCAAAAUAUUCUCUUAAUCUGCCAACCUCUUCUUUGUGAGAUGCUGCAGCUGCUAGUGCAAACCUUCGCUUCCCAUCAAGUGCCGUUAGCCUCUCAUAAGUAUUAACAAUCUCUUUAUCAUCGCUCAAAGAAUUUUGUGCCUCAGCUGCUUCAACAGAUAUGGACAUCAUACCCUCAACAUCCUUCAAUGUUGUAUUUAGGUUAUUCCUUGCAUUGCUAAGAAGCUUUAUCUGAUCAUGAUUAUCAAUUAAGGUUUGACAUUCUUGGCAGAGCUUUUCAAUUGAAAUAAAGUUCUCACGAAGCUCAUUUAUUGUCUUCUGUGAUGAGGCAAGUGCUUCCAAUCCAGUUUGUGCUUGCUCAACCUGCUCUGCAACCAUUGUACUGAGUUGCGCAUCAUUUGCCUGUUGGCGCGUAAUGUAAUCGGCCUUGAUGGAGGCAAUAGACUCUCCGGUAACGGCAAGAGCUUGGCAACCUCGCGCACGGCGGCUUCCUUGGCUUCGACGCCGAGAUCCUCCACCAUCAUUUUUCCGCGGAAGGAUUAGAGAAU
RNAcentral lists this unclassified non-coding RNA (630 nucleotides) under Hevea brasiliensis (rubber tree). The record is from RNAcentral. Lineage: Eukaryota; Viridiplantae; Streptophyta; Magnoliopsida; Malpighiales; Euphorbiaceae.